AGAGUUUGAUCAUGGCUCAGAACGUACGCUGGCGGCACGCCUAACACAUGCAAGUCGAACGAAGUAGCAAUACUUAGUGGCAGACGGGUGAGUAACAUGUGGGUAUCUGCCCUUUGGCCUGGAAUAACACGAGGAAACUUGUGCUAAUACCGGAUAAGUCUUUACGGAGAAAGCUUUAUGCACCAUUGGAUGAGCCCGCACUUGAUUAGUUUGUUGGUAGGGUAAUGGCCUACCAAGACUUUGAUCAAUAGCUGAUUUGAGAGGAUGAUCAGCCACAUUGGGACUGAGACACGGCCCAAACUCCUACGGGAGGCAGCAGUGGGGAAUCUUGCACAAUGGAGGAAACUCUGAUGCAGCGAUGCCGCGUGAGUGAAGAAGGCCCUUGGGUUGUAAAGCUCUUUCGUCGGGGAAGAAAAUGACUGUACCCGAAUAAGAAGGUCCGGCUAACUUCGUGCCAGCCGCCGCGGU
RNAcentral lists this ribosomal RNA (468 nucleotides) under uncultured bacterium. Its description in RNAcentral is "bacterial SSU rRNA". It matches the Rfam family "Bacterial small subunit ribosomal RNA", at positions 8 to 521 of the family's 1533-position model. The record is from RNAcentral.